AAUAAAUUUAAGAUUUAAAGUUAAAUGAUUAAUAGUUAUGGUCUUUAAAGUUAAAUAAUUUGGCGGUAUUUUAGUCUUUUCAGAGGAACCUGUUCUAUAAAUGAUAAUCCACGAGUAUAUCGUCUUAAAUUAGAAGUUUGUAUAUCAUCGUUAUUAAGUAUUUUUUUAGAAUUUAAUAUUUAGAAUAUAAAAUUUUAUUUUAGUUCAGAUCAUGGUAUAGUUUAUAUUUAAGUAGAAAUGGGUUACAAUAUUAAAAAAUUUGAAUUUUAAAUUUUAAAUUUAAAUGAAAUUGGAUUUGAAAGUAAUUAUUUUUAUAAAAAUAAUGAUUAAGCUCUAAAAUAUGU
RNAcentral lists this ribosomal RNA (344 nucleotides) under Scymnus accamptus. RNAcentral's name for it is "partial small subunit ribosomal RNA". The record is from RNAcentral. Lineage: Eukaryota; Metazoa; Arthropoda; Insecta; Coleoptera; Coccinellidae.